RNAcentral lists this ribosomal RNA (465 nucleotides) under uncultured bacterium. RNAcentral's name for it is "partial 16S ribosomal RNA". It matches the Rfam family "Bacterial small subunit ribosomal RNA", at positions 28 to 507 of the family's 1533-position model. The record is from RNAcentral.
GACGAACGCUGGCGGCGUGCUUAACACAUGCAAGUCGAACGGAAAGGCCCUGCUUGCAGGGUACUCGAGUGGCGAACGGGUGAGUAACACGUGGGUGAUCUGCCCUGCACUUCGGGAUAAGCCUGGGAAACUGGGUCUAAUACCGGAUAGGAGCCAUUUUUAGUGUGAUGGUUGGAAAGUUUUUUCGGUGUAGGAUGAGCUCGCGGCCUAUCAGCUUGUUGGUGGGGUAAUGGCCUACCAAGGCGACGACGGGUAGCCGGCCUGAGAGGGUGGACGGCCACAUUGGGACUGAGAUACGGCCCAGACUCCUACGGGAGGCAGCAGUGGGGAAUAUUGAACAAUGGGCGCAAGCCUGAUGCAGAGACGCCGCGUGGGGGAGGACGGCCUUAGGGUUGUAAAAUCCUUUCGCUAGGGACGAAGCUUUUUGUGACGGUACCUAGAUAAGAAGCACCGGCUAACUACGUG